AACCGAGACUCUGGAGAGCUCACAUUCAGAAAGAGAAAGAGAAGCAUCCUUAUCAAGGGGAAGGAGAAGGCCAUUCCUUUAAAAUGGAGGCUGGGUCCACAGGCUGCCAUCUUCUCCCCAAACCCACUGAACCAUGCAAAAAUCAAGAAAACCAUCAUCAGCCUGUGAUGGUUGCAGAAACACACGUGCUUUCUCUACCCAAGCAGUAUGAGCACGGCCACUGGACAAGAGCAUGGACAGGAACUCCUUGAGAGAGAACCCGCGAAGGCUGACAGCCUGCAGUUCCCAGGAGGUCACUCCGGGAGACCACAGCGGCAGCGCUCUGGUGAACACCAGGACACCUUUCUUCAGACCAGACUGUAUCUUUUGAGUGUGAAGUUGAUUGAGUGUUUCCCUGAGCCAAGCCCAAGGGAGCCAAGGCUCAGAGCACAAGAAGGAGCCAGGCCCACCCUGAGCUGGCUGCUGGCCUUCCAUGGUUCUGUCUUUGAGCGGCUUGUCCCCUUCCUACCCUCCCCCGGCUUGUCUGCCUGGCUUCUCUUUCCAAUUCUUAAUUCUUCUUUUACAAGGUUAUAAAAGUUUCCUAGAAUGGUUGGGAAUAUAAAGGAGUGUAGAAAACAUUUUGGGCUGGGACCAUGACAUGUGGGCGUGGGGAGCCAUCAUGGCUCCCUCACAGGCCAAGUGACUCACGCAGACCAGUGUCCCGACCACCCAGAAGCCAGGUCUCUGUCUCUGGGACAGUUCCUGAUUGUUACAGGCCUCUGGGAUGGCACAUGUGGGACCCAGUUUUGAAGGUGGAAUUCCAGGAGGCUGGGCAUUCUAACUAGGGCUGCUCUGUGUUCUGGGUCUCUGCCACCAUUUUCCCUCAAAUGCCCUCGGGAGGCAGGUGUUCUACAUGUGUAUAUGUCAUAGAUUUUGACAAGAGUAAGCCUUCAGUUCAGUGGCCCCAUGGCUGACUCUGGCACAUGUGGGGUAUGGGUACUUACCCUAUCUGUCCAAGAUAUCUCUAUAAGAACAUUCAGAUGCUUUGGUCCAGAUGGAAGGUGACAAGACUAUAGAUAAUAGUUCUGUUCCAUAAUGGGCCCUUGCUGGUUCUAUUUUAUCCAGGUAUCAGUCCAUGUUGCCCUCUUUAUCAUAGACAGUGUGAUUCAUGAUUAAGCACUUCACGAUUAAGUUUGAGAUGCAGCAAAGAAGACUAGGGUCAAAUUCAGGUGCGAUCAAUGUCAUGUCCCCUCACCCCUCUCAUGACCCCCUCGCCCCUCAGAUGAGCUCAGUGGGUUCCAGGCUACAUUGCAAAAAGCUCAAGGAGACUGGUCCUCCACGCUUAGUUUUUGCCAUCAGACAAAUUAGACACUUGGUUUUUGUUGUUUGUUUGAUAUUCAUAACACUCGAGAGCAGGCUGUAGAGUCUCUCACUAAGCUUCUCUAGGCUUCUCUAGCUUUCCCCACAGCCUUGGGAGGUGAGCCAGUUGGGCUUUGAGCCAGCCACCCUCACUUUCUGUCAGUUGAGCUUGGAGAGCUUGAGUUGUGGUCAGUUGGUCAUUAGACAGUUAAUCCAUCCACAGACGGGGUGAGUGGACUUUAUGGGCAAAGUGACCCAGAACUUGUGCAGAGCCACUUGGAACCUGGAUCUAGCAGGGUGGCCAGGCAGCCCUUGCACUGAGGGGUAAGGUCAGUGGAGGGUGACAUGACCACCAGGUGGGGCCACUCUUUAUAUUUAGAGGGGGCUCAGAAUAGGGACAUAGAGCCCCAGACAUUAUUUGGUGGAGGGUUUUGGGCAGAGCAGAGGCAGGACCAUCUGGGAGACCUGCACCUAUAGCUGUCAGGCAGUACUGCCCUGGUGAGGGCCUGAAGGAAAGGGGGAAAAACUUCCAGAAACAUCUGUGAAUCACUCCUCCCUCUUUCUCCCCUCUCCCAGGCUGCUCUGUGACCCUGGGGGAACAAAACAAUCUCUAGUGGCUGCCCUGUCCUUAGAUUUUUAUUUUGUUUCCAUGGUAAGAAGGGUCUUUUUCCUCCCUGUCCAUUUCAAACCCCCAACCAAAAAAACACCAAGCCAAGAUCCCGCAGCCUCCAGGGUUGCCCUGGCUGCUCCUGGCAAGUAGGGUGAAAGCAUUUGUUGCCAUCAUAAAGUCAGGUUGCUUCCCCGGUCUGUGCUACCAGGAAGCUUACAGCUUGAUUUCCAACCCACUCCUUGCAGCUGUACAGAACCGCAUGGUGUGCUGUGUGGCUCCUUUGAUUCUUGGCUUCACCCCAAUGUCUUUCCAGUGCCCGUCCUGUGGGCUGCCCUCUAGACUGUCCCAGCUCUGCCCACAAGGAGGAUGUAGACUCCCUUAUGCCAAGCUCCAUCCUGAGGUCCAUCCAUGUCCUCAGGGUCUCCAACGGUCCUGUGGCUGCUGAUAAAAGGCAGGUGCAAAGCAAGAAGUCCACCCUUUCCUCGACUCCAGCAAUUCUGGGGCAGCCGUGGGGGUGGAGGUAGGGCCCAGGGCAGCCUUGCUCUGGAAUUGACCGAGGGUUCCAGUGUAACCGUAUCUUCUGCAGAGGUUCGGUCUCUGUGGUCCUGCUGGGUUCAAGGGGCAUCAUCUCUGACAAUGGGGCCUGAAGCUGGGCCUCUCUUGAGGGCCAUCAGCUCCCACUCCUGACUGAGAAGAGUGGGGAUCAGGCUUCAUGGACAUGGCUGGAGUUCACAGGAUGAUGCUAGAGUUGUAGCCUUCACCAUGGCUAUGAGCCUGCUCAUCAGCCCCGUGUCCAGCAGACCCCAGAGACCCCUGAGUUUUCAUGCUUUCUGCAGCUUAAGGACUUUUAGUCUCUACACUCUGUCCACAAGACACCUUUGCAGGAAAGGAUGUGCAUGCCCAUUCCAUGACUCAGGUCUUCCCAACCGUAUGGUCCUGUGUGUCCCAGGCAGAAAGCAGGGUCCAGCUCAACUUGGAGGACCAGAUUUUCGUAUAUGGCAUGAGCUGAGACAUAGGUAUCCAAGGCUUUGUAAAUGUCUGUGAGUUUUCUGGACCUCCUUCCCCAUCCAAGACAUGGGCAUGGCGUGGGCGUGGUGUGGCCGAGUGGGCGUGUGUGUGUGUGUGUGUGUGUGUGUGUGUGUGUGUGUGGUUUCUGUUGCUGCAGACAUGUUACUGUGGUCCACACCAGGCCUCAAUGGCAUACCCCAGAGGAAGGAAUAAAUAAAUGUUCCCUUAGCGUGAGUCAGGACCUAGACUCUCUCUAAGGUAAUGCUGGUCUCAAAGAGUCUGCUUAAACUGAUCUUACAAGCAUAAUUAUCCUGAAUAAAGAGAGUGGGCUUAGUC
This 3292-nucleotide long non-coding RNA is filed under the name Mus musculus (house mouse). RNAcentral's name for it is "long non-coding RNA chr1:91916259-91919551". Lineage: Eukaryota; Metazoa; Chordata; Mammalia; Rodentia; Muridae. The record is from RNAcentral.